ACGCUCGACACCUACGGGCAGCAGUGGGGAAUAUUGCACAAUGGGGGAAACCCUGAUGCAGCGACGCCGCGUGAGCGAAGAAGUAUUUCGGUAUGUAAAGCUCUAUCAGCAGGGAAGAAACUGACGGUACCUGACUAAGAAGCACCGGCUAAAUACGUGCCAGCAGCCGCGGUAAUCUGAGCGGGCUGGCAAGGC
This 195-nucleotide ribosomal RNA is filed under the name uncultured bacterium. RNAcentral's name for it is "partial 16S ribosomal RNA". It matches the Rfam family "Bacterial small subunit ribosomal RNA", at positions 326 to 539 of the family's 1533-position model. The record is from RNAcentral.